UUCACCUCCAAGAAAACUCUUUGGACACCAAAUUUUAACAUAGAUCCUCCAAAUGAAGGAAGGAGGUUACGAAGCACAUUUGGGAAAUCAGGAAUGUGAACACAAAUGCACCUCCCCUGGAGGAAACUCACUAUGGAGAAGAAACUUCCUAUGAAGAGAAAACUGCUGAAAAAGAAAUCCCAGCUGAGGACUGGAUAGUUGCAAACAAAGAUCUGAUCGACAAGACGAAGUUCACCAUCACAGGUCUGCCAACAGAUGCAAAGAUCUUUGUGCGUGUGAAGGCUGUUAAUGCAGCUGGUGCCAGUGAGCCCAAGUACUAUUCUCAGCCCAUUCUCGUGAAGGAAAUCAUAGAACCUCCAAAGAUUCGCAUCCCAAGACACCUGAAGCAAACCUAUAUCCGCAGAGUUGGAGAAGCUGUCAAUCUGGUUAUACCUUUCCAG
This 440-nucleotide small RNA is filed under the name Pongo abelii (Sumatran orangutan). RNAcentral's name for it is "processed transcript". The record is from RNAcentral. Lineage: Eukaryota; Metazoa; Chordata; Mammalia; Primates; Hominidae.